UAGGGAAUCUUCGGCAAUGGACGCAAGCCUGACGGAGCAACGCCGCGUGAGUGAAGAAGGAUUUCGGUUUGUAAAACUCUGUUGUUAGAGAAGAACAGCGCAUAGAGUAACUGUUAUGCGUGUGACGGUAUCUAACCAGAAAGCCACGGCUAACUACGUGCCAGCAGUCGCGGUAAUACGUAGGUGGCAAGCGUUGUCCGGAUUUAUUGGGCGUAAAGCGAGCGCAGGCGGUCAAUUAAGUCUGAUGUGAAAGCCCCCGGCUCAACCGGGGAGGGUCAUUUGAAACUGCUUGACUUGAGUGCAGAAGAGGAGAGUGGAAUUCCAGGUGUAGCGGUGAAAUGCGUAGAUAUAUGGAGGAACACCAGUAGCGAAGGCGACUCUCUGGGCUGUAACUGACGCUGAGGCUCGAAAGCGUGGGUAGCAAACAGG
RNAcentral lists this ribosomal RNA (429 nucleotides) under Bacteroidota bacterium. RNAcentral describes it as "Bacteroidetes bacterium partial 16S ribosomal RNA". It matches the Rfam family "Bacterial small subunit ribosomal RNA", at positions 355 to 776 of the family's 1533-position model. The record is from RNAcentral. Lineage: Bacteria; Pseudomonadati; Bacteroidota.